RNAcentral lists this ribosomal RNA (465 nucleotides) under Vreelandella stevensii. RNAcentral describes it as "partial 16S ribosomal RNA". It matches the Rfam family "Bacterial small subunit ribosomal RNA", at positions 338 to 795 of the family's 1533-position model. Lineage: Bacteria; Pseudomonadati; Pseudomonadota; Gammaproteobacteria; Oceanospirillales; Halomonadaceae. The record is from RNAcentral.
CCUACGGGGGGCUGCAGUGGGGAAUAUUGGACAAUGGGGGCAACCCUGAUCCAGCCAUGCCGCGUGUGUGAAGAAGGCCCUCGGGUUGUAAAGCACUUUCAGUGAGGAAGAACGCCUGGUGGUUAAUACCCAUCAGGAAAGACAUCACUCACAGAAGAAGCACCGGCUAACUCCGUGCCAGCAGCCGCGGUAAUACGGAGGGUGCGAGCGUUAAUCGGAAUUACUGGGCGUAAAGCGCGCGUAGGUGGCUUGAUAAGCCGGUUGUGAAAGCCCCGGGCUCAACCUGGGAACGGCAUCCGGAGCUGUCAAGCUAGAGUGCAGGAGAGGAAGGUAGAAUUCCCGGUGUAGCGGUGAAAUGCGUAGAGAUCGGGAGGAAUACCAGUGGCGAAGGCGGCCUUCUGGACUGACACUGACACUGAGGUGCGAAAGCGUGGGUAGCAAACAGGAUUAGAUACCCCUGUAGUC